GCCCGUUUAGCUCAGUGGUAGAGCGCGCCACUCGUACCUCGGGUGUGGCUGCCCCUUGUUCCUCGAGUGGGUAGCUAUGCUUGGUCAUGGUGAGGUCGGUUGUUCAAGUCAGCCAAUGGGCA
This 122-nucleotide transfer RNA is filed under the name Fibroporia radiculosa. It matches the Rfam family "tRNA". Rfam says of the family: Transfer RNA (tRNA) molecules are approximately 80 nucleotides in length. Lineage: Eukaryota; Fungi; Basidiomycota; Agaricomycetes; Polyporales; Fibroporiaceae. The record is from Rfam by way of RNAcentral.